This is a long non-coding RNA of Orcinus orca (killer whale), 5238 nucleotides long. RefSeq lists it as uncharacterized. The record is from RefSeq and is a predicted model, not a curated record. NCBI's taxonomy places the organism in Eukaryota, Metazoa, Chordata, Mammalia, Artiodactyla, Delphinidae. The transcript is spliced from 3 exons.
CUUCUUUCCUUUUCUCCUGCAAUUUCCUCAGGGACUUUACCCUGGAAUCCAAAGGAUUUGAAGAAGUUAAACUCCUCCUUCUUCUUUGAUGCUCAUCAAAACUCUCGUUUUUUAAAGCAGUCAAGGAAAUAAAAACUCCUACCCACUCUCCAAACAUUCUUCCUUUAGGCAGGGCUCUUAAUGAAACCCAGGUUGCAUUUAAAGCCACAGUAGCAAAAUAUUUAAUUUUAAAAGAAAGUUAUAUUAGUAUACAUUUAAGUAAAAUUAUGUGGCUAAGGCAUGAGGACAAGAGGCAUGAGAGUUGUCAAUAAUAUUAAAGCGCUACCACAUGGAAAAAAGGAUUGAAACAGCUUUGAGCUGCUUCUCAGAGAAUAAAUUAAACCAAUGGGUGAGAUGGGCAUAGUGUAUACAAUGAAGAUGUUGUCUCACAAUUAGAGUUGUUCCUGACCCAAGCAGUUGCUAAUUUAUUGGCUGUUUUCUAGAGGGAUGCACAGGGAAGAAAUUGAAUUGGAUGAUCUCUAAGCUCACUUUAGAUCUGAGAUCUUGGUGAUUAAGCCUUUCAUGAGCCAGAAGGGAGUCUUAAACCCCUUCCUCAAAAUCAUAUUAUGUAGCACAGCUCCCAGCAUUUUAUUAAUACUUACCAUUUGAUGAUAUAGAUUGUUAAGCCAGAACUCUGACAUCAGAAAAAAAUGGUAUAUUAUCCUUUUAUAAAAUUGGCUCUUUUGACAUAGCUAAUUGCAGUUUUAGUUUAUGUUGCUGACUUGUUUCAUUCUAUUUUCUUCUGAAAGCACUGAGAAGACAUCAUUGAAUGUGCAGUCAGAAAAUCCCUCAUAGGGGAGAUAAGAUAUUUUACGUUUUGGCAAUAAAUUAUAAACAUUUCCCUAGCAUGCACAAAAAGAAAGCCAACUUAAUAAACAAAUAGCACGUAUACUGUUCAACAACUAAAAAAAAAUUUAGAGAAAAGAUGAAAAUAUGAACAAAGACCAUAGUUUUAUAACUUCCUAGACUCAAUAUCAUAGAAAUAACAGCACCAAAAUUCACCUUUUUAACCUAAUUUUAUUUAUUGAAUUUGCUUCAUGCAAAGUUCAGCAUACUUUGUACUUAUGUGUCUUGAAUGUUAAAAAGAAAACUGUAUUUUCACAAAAUCAUGAUUUCAAAUUCCAGAAGCACGGCUUGAAGAGUCACACACUGGUUAAUGGACUGUCGGUGAGUGAUUUUUUAUGACCCUCUUUUUGUUAACAGAUAACGAGAAGUCUCGUCAACAGAAGCAUCUUCAAAUAUAUGAAAAUGAGCACAUCUAAAGAAGUGAGCAGUGUCCUUUGAUGUUCUUUUGAUUAGACAAGUUGGACUACUCUGUACAUUCACUCACUAUUCAGACCAGGUAUCAGAUCAACAUCGUGGUCUGCAGCUCUCCCAUGUGGCAGCCAUGAGAAUGUACUUCACACACCUCCAACUGCAGGGAGAAUAAUGGACCAAGGGCUCCAUCUGCCGUGCUCUGACAUCCAUUGCCAAGUUUGCAAGGAGACUACACUUUCCAUGGGAUGUUUCCUGCCAAUGACUAACAGUUGUUAAGGCAGGCCCAUUCCUGGUAGACACAGGAUUCCUCUGAAGGCUAACCUGAGCGUGCAACUCCCUGAAGACCUUGCUGACCCUCUCGUAAGAUUGCACAGCUGUCUGAGAGUCUUCCAUUCAACCUUCCCUCUCUCCUUCCCUUAGGAUAGGACUUUCAUUAUGGUCUGAUGGCUCUCCCAGCCUUCUCCAGCCACCUGUCCCUUUUCUUUCAUACAGGGAUUUCCACCAUAAAGUCCUGAUACUUAAAAUUCCAUCUUGGCAUCUGCUUCUCUGAGGAUUCAGAGAUCUCAUUCCAUCGAUUCCUGCUCCUUCCACCUUCAUCUUUCACAGGUGUUUUGCCCAAUCUAUAUCUUACACUCUUAGUUCCAUAUUUGUAUAUGCUUUCUGGAGAUCCAAAACUGACACACAUUUUUUCUUUGAAUGAAAUUCAUCAGGAAAGCUUAAUCUUGGAAGUCAUAAAACGGGUCUCUCCUGGCUGAAGCAAGAGUUGGGGUCCAGAGAGCUCCUUAUUCACUGCCACUCUCACCCCGCCUUUGGCUCCAGUGGAAGCUCCUGAAAUAUCUUUGAGACCUGUUUAGGAUAUGGGAAAGACAGUUUGGAAACUCCUGAACAAGAUGUCCUCACACAUUAAAUACUAUAAUUUUGUAACAUCUGAAUGUCUUCAUUGGAGUCCAUAUAUAAGGCCUUGCUAGUUCUCCCCCAAAUCUGAAAUUUUACCACCAGAGCCAGGCCACGGUAAGGUGUCCCCAGGCGGCAGCCACAAAAAUUGAGGCACCAGACAAGGGUAUAAGCUCCUUUCGAGGAGACACCGGCAAGCUGGAGUGAGGCAGAAGGAGAUCACACCAGCUUCUGUUUCCUGAGAGCAGUUGUGUAUGCCCCUAGGUGUGUGCCAAACCAGAAGCCUGCCCCUUAGGCCAAGGCCUAGACAAGCACAUGGGCCUCUUGCACAGAAAGACUGGGCUGUGUUUCAGUGUGCCCCCUGUACAGUGUCCUGGGGCUGGUAGCCUGCCAAGACCUGCCUCUCGCAUUGCUACAGUCCCAUGGGCCCCAGGAACACAAGCUCCCCUGGCCGCUAGAGACAGGCAUUAAGGGGUGUCCCCUGGGAGGCAGCUGCAAAAGCCAGGGGCCAGACGUGUAUAAAAGCUCCUUUCUGGGGGAUACACGUCCUCUGGAGCACGGCAGCGGGAGAGGGCGAGGAUGGCGCUCACAGGAGGGGGGCAGGGCGGAAGGAGAAGAAACAAGCCUCGAUUUAAAAACAAAAACUUUUAAGGUGCCCACAGAUGGGAGGAGUUGCGGAAGAUGUGUCCUGAGGGGAAAAAAAAACAAACAAGGGUGCCUGCAGGUGGUGUGGAGGGUGGAGGAAAAAAGAGAAAAAGACCUGGAAUUUAUUAAAGUAAUCAAUUAAAUUUAAAGAAAUUCAAGGCACCUGCGGAGACGGGCGAAUGAGGUGGUUUCUACCAAAAAAAAAAGAAAAAGAAAAUACCCCCAAAUGAUGGCGUCCGGCGGCUAGAGCAACCCGGCAGGAGGGGGGAGGCCAAGGCUGGCGCCCCACAGUGUCCUCGCUGGAGGGCGUCCAGCGGCUCCGGAAAGUGCUCGUUAAGUCAGAUGCCUGCCCCUCAGGCCGCUUCUAUAUCAGCAAACGAGCCUCCUUCACAGGAAGUCCGGUCGCAGUCAGCUGCGUCUGCGCAGUGAGCUGCGUCUGCGUUGGACCUGAGGCGGGUGAGUCCGAGCGCUGGGCCCUUUGCAAGCCACUACUCAGCUUGUCACAGCCUGGGGGUCUCUUGGACACGAGCCCCUUUGGUUUGCAAAGCUAGAUGUUUGGGGGGCUUGUCUCUCGUCUUAAAAGCGGGGCUGCCCAGCGCGGGGUUCAAAGCCUUUGCUCGUCAGGGAGGAGCUCCCGGUUUGAGUUCGGUCUUGAUUGUGAGUCGCUGCACCAGGGAUAUGGGGUUUCGGCGAGCUUGUGGCCCGGCCUCUCCCAGCUGCGUCAGUGGGAUGUGUUUCUUGUUUGCCCAGUGUGAAGUUGUCACACAUCCCGCGUUUAGGUUUUAUUUUAGAGGAAAUUGUUCCAUAGGUAGCGGUAGAGUCGGUGUGUCCGUGCAAGGAGGUGAGUUCGAGAUAGACCUCCACCUCCAUCUUAGGCCAGCACCUCCUUUUGUCUUUCAAUUGAAAAUUUUCAUUUGAUUUAAUCUCGUAUUUCUUUGUUAGACUUUUACUCUUUCCUGACCCUACUUGUUUGUUGCGAUUUGGGAUAUGAGGAAGAUUUGUUACAAAUUAUAUGCAAGAUAGUAAGAGAAAGACAGGAGAAAAAAAGUACACGACUUGUCAAAAUCGUUCAUUUGGAGUCGGCUGUGGACAAAUACUUUUCGAAACCUGAAGGGAAUGAGCAGAGACCACUUCACCUUAUGAUUUCGUGUCUGCUUGUUCAUAUUUCCAUGAGAAGCAUUAUGUUCAGUAUCUAACGUGAUUGUCGCUGGUUAAUGGGAAUCUGAGCCUGAUCUUAGGCUAAAUUCUGUUUAAGGAAAAUGAUAGAAUCUUAUUUGCUCAUCUGUUGCUGUGAUGUACAGGAUGUGUGUGUGUGUGUGUGUAUAUGUAUAUUUGGGGCUGAAUGAAGGCUGGAACAGGCAGGAGGAAAGAGAAAAGAAGUACUUCUAAAUUAGGCAGGUGAAAAAGACAGUGUAGAGUAGCAAUCACCCAGCAAAUAGAUUCAGGUGGAUAUAUAAUAAGCAGUUCCUAAAGAGAACUGUCCUAUUUAUGUAAUCCAUGGGGAUUUUAAUAAAAAGAUAGCAACAUAAUACAGCCUGAUACUAAGUGACUUUCAGAUUCUUUGAAUAACAAGGAUCAAAUUCGAAGUUAUAUUGAUGUCACUGAAUCCCUGCAGCUUUUCAUUAGUUCCCUUUCUAGUUUGAUCUGGAAUGCAAAUUUCUCAGGCCCAUUCACUAUUGUAAGCAUUAAAAGAACUGCUUGUUCACAUUAUUCGGAUAUGUCAUCACUUUUGGGGGUUCAUUAGAAAGAGACAUGGUUUAUACCUGUGAGUUACAGUCAACUCAGCAGGCAUUUAAAACAUUAAAGUUAUGUGUUCCUCUUCAAAGGAAAAGAAGCUGUGCAAGCAGUAACUUUUCAUGUCUAGAGUAAGUAGGAAUGUAUUAUGUCUUCUGUGGUAGUCAAUUAAUCACCUGGAGUUUUACAUAUGAUCCUGGCUGGGGUAGAAAGCUUUAGUCGUAAUAUUCAUUCUGUUUUGUAACUAUUUCAGCUUUGAAUAGUUAACAUGGUAUUAAUUUCUUGAAUUGGCUUUCAUUUUGGGUAGUUUAGGAGACUGUUUCUAUUUCAUUGGCAACACAGAUGCUAUCCUGCCUCCUCUAUGAAGCCUCUUCUGACUGCAAGCUGUCUUCUCUGCUCAGAGUUUAACUUUCUCUACCAUUAAUUUGUCACUUUCUACCUUGCACUGUAAUUUCCUCAGCCUAUGCAUGUAUUAUCUCCACAAACAUAUUUUAAGCUACCUGAGAGUCAGGUAUUUCUCUAAGAUCUCUUUAUAUCCCCCAGUUCUUCAAGAGUCUUUCAUUCAUUAACUCUUGGCAAAGUUUUGCAACAUAAAUUUCCUCAACACAUCACAUGAUUUUUUUCUAUGUAAAUAUCUUGCUCUGUAUUUUAACUUGUGACAUAUUGUGA